Molecule: long non-coding RNA, 438 nt
Filed under: Equus asinus (donkey)
Lineage: Eukaryota; Metazoa; Chordata; Mammalia; Perissodactyla; Equidae
Description: lncRNA (ENSEASG00005033059.1)
Source: RNAcentral
GAUGACCUGGCAAACGGAGCUGAUGGGGCCUGCAGGAGGCUGAGCUGCCAUCCACGCUGCACUCACUGCUUCCAGUCACUCUGAAGUCAGAGGCUCGGGGAUUCUUUAACUGCUGUACAUCCGGGAAACGGGAACAGCCAAGGCCGAGCUCAGCGUUGGCCCCGAGAGGAGUGAGGGCGUGCUUGAUGUGUCUCCAGUCUUCCUUUCUUCUUCCUGCCUGAAAGGACGGAGGCAUAGGGUGACAUCAAGGAGAGAGGUGUUCUCUACGUCUCCAAAUACCUUACAGAGUAUAGAAAAUCAUCAUCCGACCCAGGAAAUCACAGUGAUAGAGGUGAGGAGGGAGCUCCCAGCAGCUCAGCCUCGCUGAGAGCAGAAGGGGAGGAAAUGGCCAAUUCGCCAGCUGCUGACCAGACUCCUGCUCACAGGGGUGUCCCCAGA